UGGGGAAUCUUGGACAAUGGGGGCAACCCUGAUCCAGCGACGCCGCGUGGGUGGUAAGGCCUUCGGGUUGUAAAGCGCUUUCACUGGUGAAGAUGAUGACGGUAGCCAGAGAAGAAGCCCCGGCUAACUCCGUGCCAGCAGCCGCGGUAAUACGGAGGGGGCAAGCGUUGUUCGGAAUUACUGGGCGUAAAGGGCGCGUAGGCGGAACAUCAAGUUAGGGGUGAAAGGCCUGGGCUCAACCUGGGAACGGCCUCUAAAACUGGUGAUCUAGAGACCGGAAGAGGAUGGCGGAAUUCCUAGUGUAGAGGUGAAAUUCGUAGAUAUUAGGAAGAACACCGGUGGCGAAGGCGGCCAUCUGGUCCGGAUCUGACGCUGAGGCGCGAAAGCGUGGGGAGCAAACAGGAUUAGAUACCCGCGUAGUCC
Molecule: ribosomal RNA, 423 nt
Filed under: uncultured prokaryote
Description: bacterial SSU rRNA
Rfam family: Bacterial small subunit ribosomal RNA
Source: RNAcentral